This 75-nucleotide transfer RNA is filed under the name Escherichia coli. RNAcentral describes it as "tRNA-Gln". It matches the Rfam family "tRNA". From Rfam's summary of the family: Transfer RNA (tRNA) molecules are approximately 80 nucleotides in length. The record is from RNAcentral. RNAcentral also lists the same sequence under 73 other names. Lineage: Bacteria; Pseudomonadati; Pseudomonadota; Gammaproteobacteria; Enterobacterales; Enterobacteriaceae.
UGGGGCAUCGCCAAGCGGUAAGGCAGCGGGUUUUGAUCUCGCCAUACCUAGGUUCGAAUCCUAGUGCCCCAGCCA